RNAcentral lists this ribosomal RNA (563 nucleotides) under uncultured bacterium. RNAcentral's name for it is "bacterial SSU rRNA". It matches the Rfam family "Bacterial small subunit ribosomal RNA", at positions 37 to 591 of the family's 1533-position model. The record is from RNAcentral.
UACCGGCAGCUACCAUGCAGUCGUACGGCAACACGAUAAGAGCUGGCUCUUAUGGGAGGAGAGUGGUAGAGGGUGAGGAAUACGUCGGAAUCUACCUUUUCGUGGGGGAAAACGUAGGGAAACUUACGCUAAUACCGCAUACGACCUUCAGGUGAAAGCAGGGGACCUUCGGGCCUUGCCCGAUUAGAUGAGCCGAUGUCGGAUUAGCUAGUUGGUGAGGUAAAGGCUCACCAGGGAGACGAUCCGUAUCUGGUCUGAGAGGAUGAUCACCCACUCUGGAACUGAGACACGGUCCAGACUCCUACGGGGGGCAGCUGUGGGGAAUAUUGGACAAUGGGCGCAAGCCUGAUCCAGCCAUGCCGCGUGGGUGAGGAAGGCCUUCGGGUUGUAAAGCCCUUUUGUUGGGAAAGAAAAGCAGUCGAUUAUUACUCGAUUGUUCUGACGGUACCCAGAAAAUAAAUACCGGUUAACGGUCGCGCCAGCCCCGCUGAGAUACGAAGUGGUGGCCGCGUUCCUCAAGAAUUACUGGGCGUAAAACCCGGGGGGGGGGGUGGAUUUAACCC